AAUUUGAUGAUACGCGAGGAACUUUACCCGGGCUCAAACGACACAGGAAUACUUUUGAAAGGAGGUAGCUCUUCGGAGCUUGUGUCGAGGUGCUGCAUGGUUGUCGUCAGCUCGUGCCGUGAGGUGUCGGCUUAAGUGCCAUAACGAGCGCAACCCCCAUCGCCAGUUACCAGCAAGUCAAGUUGGGGACUCUGGCGAGACUGCCGGCGCAAGCUGUGAGGAAGGCGGGGAUGACGUCAAAUCAGCACGGCCCUUACGUCCGGGGCGACACACGUGUUACAAUGGCAGGUACAGAGAGAAGCAAUGCGGCGACGCAAAGCGGAACUUGAAAGCCUGUCUCAGUUCGGAUUGGAGUCUGCAACUCGACUCCAUGAAGCUGGAUUCGCUAGUAAUCGCGCAUCAGCCAUGGCGCGGUGAAUACGUUCCCGGGCCUUGUACACACCGCCCGUCAAGCCAUGGAAGCCGGGAGUGCCUGAAGUGUGCAACCGCAAGGAGCGCCCUAAGGUAAAACUGGUGACUGGGGCUAAGUCGUAACAAGGUAGCCGU
Molecule: ribosomal RNA, 546 nt
Filed under: uncultured bacterium
Lineage: Bacteria
Description: bacterial SSU rRNA
Rfam family: Bacterial small subunit ribosomal RNA
Source: RNAcentral